Molecule: ribosomal RNA, 608 nt
Filed under: Lysinibacillus sp.
Lineage: Bacteria; Bacillati; Bacillota; Bacilli; Caryophanales; Bacillaceae
Description: bacterial SSU rRNA
Rfam family: Bacterial small subunit ribosomal RNA
Source: RNAcentral
AGUCGAGCGAAUGAUGAGGAAGCUUGCUUCCUCUGAUUUAGCGGCGGACGGGUGAGUAACACGUGGGCAACCUACCUUAUAGUUUGGGAUAACUCCGGGAAACCGGGGCUAAUACCAAAUAAUCUCUUUUACUUCAUGGUGAAAGACUGAAAGACGGUUUCGGCUGUCCCUAUAGGAUGGGCCCGCGGCGCAUUAACUAGUUGGUGAGGUAACGGCUCACCAAGGCGAAGAUGCGUAGCCCAACUGAGAGGGUGAUCGGCCACACUGGGACUGAAACACGGCCCAAACUCCUACGGGAGGCAGCAGUAGGGAAUCUUCCACAAUGGGCGAAAGCCUGAUGGAACAACGCCGCGUGAGUGAAGAAGGAUUUCGGUUCCUAAAACUCUGUUGUAAGGGAAGAACAAGUACAGUAAUAACUGGCUGUACCUUGGCGGUACCUUAUUAAAAAGCCACGGCUAACUACGUGCCAGCCGCCGCGGUAAUACGUAGGUGGCAAGCGUUGUCCGGAAUUAUUGGGCGUAAAGCGCGCGCAGGUGGUUUCUUAAGUCUGAUGUGAAAGCCCACGGCUCAACCGUGGAGGGUCAUUGGAAACUGGGGAACUUGAGUGC